RNAcentral lists this ribosomal RNA (490 nucleotides) under uncultured bacterium. Its description in RNAcentral is "partial 16S ribosomal RNA". It matches the Rfam family "Bacterial small subunit ribosomal RNA", at positions 30 to 507 of the family's 1533-position model. The record is from RNAcentral.
AUUGAACGCUGGCGGCAGGCCUAACACAUGCAAGUCGAACGGUAACAGGAAGAAGCUUGCUUCUUUGCUGACGAGUGGCGGACGGGUGAGUAAUGUCUGGGAAACUGCCUGAUGGAGGGGGAUAACUACUGGAAACGGUAGCUAAUACCGCAUAACGUCGCAAGACCAAAGAGGGGGACCUUCGGGCCUCUUGCCAUCGGAUGUGCCCAGAUGGGAUUGGCUAGUAGGUGGGGUAACGGCUCACCUAGGCGACGAUCCCUAGCUGGUCUGAGAGGAUGACCAGCCACACUGGAACUGAGACACGGUCCAGAUUCCUACGGGAGGCAGCAGUGGGGAAUAUUGCACAAUGGGCGCAAGCCUGAUGCAGCCAUGCCGCGUGUAUGAAGAAGGCCUUCGGGUUGUAAAGUACUUUCAGCGGGGAGGAAGGGAGUAAAGUUAAUACCUUUGCUCAUUGACGUUACCCGCAGAAGAAGCACCGGCUAACUCCGUG